GGGUGAGUAAUGUCUGGGAAACUGCCUGAUGGAGGGGGAUAACUACUGGAAACGGUAGCUAAUACCGCAUAACGUCGCAAGACCAAAGAGGGGGACCUUCGGGCCUCUUGCCAUCGGAUGUGCCCAGAUGGGAUUAGCUAGUAGGUGGGGUAACGGCUCACCUAGGCGACGAUCCCUAGCUGGUCUGAGAGGAUGACCAGCCACACUGGAACUGAGACACGGUCCAGACUCCUACGGGAGGCAGCAGUGGGGAAUAUUGCACAAUGGGCGCAAGCCUGAUGCAGCCAUGCCGCGUGUAUGAAGAAGGCCUUCGGGUUGUAAAGUACUUUCAGCGGGGAGGAAGGGAGUAAAGUUAAUACCUUUGCUCAUUGACGUUACCCGCAGAAGAAGCACCGGCUAACUCCGUGCCAGCAGCCGCGGUAAUACGGAGGGUGCAAGCGUUAAUCGGAAUUACUGGGCGUAAAGCGCACGCAGGCGGUUUGUUAAGUCAGAUGUGAAAUCCCCG
This 505-nucleotide ribosomal RNA is filed under the name Escherichia coli O25b:H4-ST131. Its description in RNAcentral is "bacterial SSU rRNA". It matches the Rfam family "Bacterial small subunit ribosomal RNA", at positions 104 to 605 of the family's 1533-position model. The record is from RNAcentral. Lineage: Bacteria; Pseudomonadati; Pseudomonadota; Gammaproteobacteria; Enterobacterales; Enterobacteriaceae.